UUCAGGACUCAAUGAAGCAGAAAAACAAUGUUAGUCUUUGGUGGCCAGGGAAAAGGAGGAAAGCUCGUGGUGGUCUCCAGAUGAUCUGGCCCUGACUGAAGCAAUCUCCUUCCACGAGGAGGGAGCAAAGGGCUGGCAAGUGCAGGCUGUUGGAGAGCACUUCUGGCUUUUUUCCAGGGUACCUGACUGUCUUAUUGCAUACUGGUGUCAUCCAGGGCAUCCAACAUGAAGAUCUCUAAUGUUAAUGAUAAAGAAAAUUACUUCCCUGUGAUCGGGAUUGGAGUGAGCACAAGUGGCAUCACUGUUCUGUCAGUUUCCCAGGCAUGAUGGAACAGCCCAAAUCCCAGCUGAUCUGCAAACCUGUGCACUUCCCUCUGUAGCUGUAGUAGCAGUGUGGUGGAUUGCUUGUCUGUCCUUCUACCAGACUUACCACAGAGUCUAUUUGGCAACAUUUAAAGGCAAAUUAUGUGAGUAUCCCUCAGCUCUAGCUGAAUUAUAUAUUACC
Molecule: long non-coding RNA, 505 nt
Filed under: Junco hyemalis (dark-eyed junco)
Lineage: Eukaryota; Metazoa; Chordata; Aves; Passeriformes; Passerellidae
Description: lncRNA (ENSJHYG00000006523.1)
Source: RNAcentral